RNAcentral lists this ribosomal RNA (117 nucleotides) under Amolops mantzorum (Kangting sucker frog). The record is from RNAcentral. Lineage: Eukaryota; Metazoa; Chordata; Amphibia; Anura; Ranidae.
GCCUACGGCCAUAUCACCCUGAAAGCGCCGAUCUCGUCUGAUCUCGGAGGCUAAGCAGGGUCGGGCCUGGUUAGUACCUGGAUGGGAGACCGCCUGGGAAUACCAGGUGCUGUAGGC